RNAcentral lists this ribosomal RNA (206 nucleotides) under uncultured bacterium. RNAcentral's name for it is "partial 16S ribosomal RNA". It matches the Rfam family "Bacterial small subunit ribosomal RNA", at positions 568 to 773 of the family's 1533-position model. The record is from RNAcentral.
CUCGUAGGCGGUUCGUCGCGUCCGGUGUGAAAGUCCAUCGCUUAACGGUGGAUCCGCGCCGGGUACGGGCGGGCUUGAGUGCGGUAGGGGAGACUGGAAUUCCCGGUGUAACGGUGGAAUGUGUAGAUAUCGGGAAGAACACCAGUGGCGAAGGCAGGUCUCUGGGCCGUCACUGACGCUGAGGAGCGAAAGCGUGGGGAGCGAAC